CCUACGGGAGGCUGCAGUGGGGAAUAUUGGACAAUGGGGGCAACCCUGAUCCAGCCAUGCCGCGUGUGUGAAGAAGGCCCUCGGGUUGUAAAGCACUUUCAGUGAGGAAGAACGCCUGGUGGUUAAUACCCAUCAGGAAAGACAUCACUCACAGAAGAAGCACCGGCUAACUCCGUGCCAGCAGCCGCGGUAAUACGGAGGGUGCGAGCGUUAAUCGGAAUUACUGGGCGUAAAGCGCGCGUAGGUGGCUUGAUAAGCCGGUUGUGAAAGCCCCGGGCUCAACCUGGGAACGGCAUCCGGAACUGUCAAGCUAGAGUGCAGGAGAGGAAGGUAGAAUUCCCGGUGUAGCGGUGAAAUGCGUAGAGAUCGGGAGGAAUACCAGUGGCGAAGGCGGCCUUCUGGACUGACACUGCCACUGAGGUGCGAAAGCGUGGGUAGCAAACAGGAUUAGAUACCCCUGUAGUC
This 465-nucleotide ribosomal RNA is filed under the name Vreelandella stevensii. RNAcentral describes it as "partial 16S ribosomal RNA". It matches the Rfam family "Bacterial small subunit ribosomal RNA", at positions 338 to 795 of the family's 1533-position model. The record is from RNAcentral. Lineage: Bacteria; Pseudomonadati; Pseudomonadota; Gammaproteobacteria; Oceanospirillales; Halomonadaceae.